UCUUUCCCAGAGCUCCUCGGAUCAGCAAAGAAGGUGAACGUCAACUUCCAAGACACCGAUGGGUUCUCUGCUCUGCACCAUGCGGCACUCAACGGCAACACGGAGCUCAUCGCCCUGCUGCUGGAGGCGCAGGCCGCCGUGGACAUCAAGGACAAUAAAGGGAUGCGGCCCUUGCACUACGCAGCCUGGCAAGGCAAGAAGGAGCCCAUGAAGAUGGUGCUCAAAGCGGGCUCCUCGGUGAACAUCCCGUCGGACGAGGGGCAGAUCCCCCUGCACCUCGCGGCGCAGCACGGGCACUACGACGUGUCCGAGAUGCUGCUGCAGCACCAGUCCAACCCCU
Molecule: non-coding RNA, 340 nt
Organism: Tinamus guttatus (white-throated tinamou)
Lineage: Eukaryota; Metazoa; Chordata; Aves; Tinamiformes; Tinamidae
Source: RefSeq, a predicted model, not a curated record